GUUGUCUUUUAAAAGGAAUAUUAACAAUAAAGAGUUAACUUACAUAGUAUUAUAAACCAGUUUCAUAUAGAAACACGAUGAACAAAAAGAAAUGCGAAACCUUAAUUCAUCCGGAACGUCAACAUUUUGUCACUGUAAAUAGGAUGAUUUUUAUCGUUGCGUUUUUAGUCAAGCUAUAUCAGUGAUGUCUUUUGAUUUGUGACUCUUUGUUUACUCCUUGGUUUUGAUUGUUAUUG
RNAcentral lists this long non-coding RNA (236 nucleotides) under Mytilus galloprovincialis (Mediterranean mussel). Lineage: Eukaryota; Metazoa; Mollusca; Bivalvia; Mytilida; Mytilidae. The record is from RNAcentral.